Molecule: ribosomal RNA, 653 nt
Filed under: uncultured microorganism
Description: bacterial SSU rRNA
Rfam family: Bacterial small subunit ribosomal RNA
Source: RNAcentral
GCAAGUCGAGCGGAGUUUUGUUGAAAGCUUGCUUUCACAGGAUUUAGCGGCGGACGGGUGAGUAACACGUAGGCAACCUGCCCCUUAGCCUGGGAUAACUACCGGAAACGGUGGCUAAUACCGGAUAAUUCCUUUCCCCACCUGGGGAGAGGAUGAAAGACGGAGCAAUCUGUCGCUGAGGGAUGGGCCUGCGGCGCAUUAGCUAGUUGGUGGGGUAACGGCUCACCAAGGCGACGAUGCGUAGCCGACCUGAGAGGGUGAACGGCCACACUGGGACUGAGACACGGCCCAGACUCCUACGGGAGGCAGCAGUAGGGAAUCUUCCGCAAUGGGCGCAAGCCUGACGGAGCAAUGCCGCGUGAGUGAUGAAGGUUUUCGGAUCGUAAAGCUCUGUUGCCAGGGAAGAACGUCUUAUAGAGUAACUGCUAUAAGAGUGACGGUACCUGAGAAGAAAGCCCCGGCUAACUACGUGCCAGCAGCCGCGGUAAUACGUAGGGGGCAAGCGUUGUCCGGAAUUAUUGGGCGUAAAGCGCGCGCAGGCGGCUAUUUAAGUCUGGUGUUUAAACCUUGGGCUCAACCUGAGGUCGCACUGGAUACUGGGUGGCUUGAGUGCAUAAGAUGAAAGUGGAAUUCCACGUGUAGCGGUGAAAUGC